RNAcentral lists this unclassified non-coding RNA (394 nucleotides) under Hevea brasiliensis (rubber tree). The record is from RNAcentral. Lineage: Eukaryota; Viridiplantae; Streptophyta; Magnoliopsida; Malpighiales; Euphorbiaceae.
AAAGAGAAGUAAACGUUAAAAAGGAUUUCCAAUUCAGAAAGACAUUCAACAAACUGAUUUGAAGACUAAGGACUUCAUUCCUAUAAACAAGCAAGCCUUGGCUCACACAUAGUGAAAUUCAAAUAUUCGUAUGUCAACAGUACCGAAUAUGGUUGGGGGAAGUAGUUAGAUCAGAAAAUUCUAAUUUAUUUCCCAAACCAAUGAAUUUCAUCAGACAAUGCAGGAAGAGGUGAAGCAUGAUCCCCAUUUCCUUUUAUACUAAUCCCACUACCACUACGCAAUGUUGCAAACGCUUCGUUCAUCUGCCAUAUCCAUUGCCCAGUCUAGCACAAUCACAUCAACAACAGUUCCUUUCAUAUGCUCAACAAGGCCACCAUUUCCAUUAAUGUAGAGA